This 777-nucleotide ribosomal RNA is filed under the name uncultured bacterium. RNAcentral describes it as "bacterial SSU rRNA". It matches the Rfam family "Bacterial small subunit ribosomal RNA", at positions 9 to 766 of the family's 1533-position model. The record is from RNAcentral.
GAGUUUGAUCCUGGCUCAGGACGAACGCUGGCGGCGUGCUUAACACAUGCAAGUCGAACGGGCCUGUCUUCUUUUUUGGGGGUGGGUUGAGUGGCGAACGGGUGAGUAUCCCGUGAGUAACCUGCCCUUCGGUCCUGGAUAACCGCUUGAAAGGGCGGCUAAUACGGGGUGGUCCGGUUGGUCCGCAUGGGCUGGUCGGGAUAGAUUCACUGUUUUUGGUGUUUCGGCGGGGGAUGGGCUCGCGGCCUAUCAGCUUGUUGGUGGGGUGAUGGCCUACCAAGGCGGUGACGGGUAGCCGGCCUGAGAGGGUGGGCGGCCACACUGGGACUGAGAUACGGCCCAGACUCCUGCGGGAGGCAGCAGUGGGGGGUAUUGCACAAUGGGCGGAAGCCUGAUGCAGCGACGUCGCGUGAGGGAUGGAGGCCUUCGGGUUGUGAACCUCUGUUUCCGGUGGUGAAGGCCCUGUCCGUGUGGUGGGGUUGACGGUAGCCGGGGAUGAAGCGCCGGCUAACUACGUGCCAGCAGCCGCGGUGAUACGUAGGGCGCGAGCGUUGUCCGGAAUUAUUGGGCGUAAAGGGCUUGUAGGCGGCUGGUCGCGUCUGCCGUGAAAUUCUCCGGCUCAACCGGGGGCUUGCGGUGGGUACGGGCCGGCUGGAGUGCGGUAGGGGAGGCUGGAACUCCUGGUGUAGCGGUGGAAUGCGCAGAUAUCAGGAGGAACACCGGUGGCGAAGGCGGGUCUCUGGGCCGUUACUGACGCUGAGGAGCGAAAGCGUGGGG